RNAcentral lists this long non-coding RNA (618 nucleotides) under Anser brachyrhynchus (Pink-footed goose). RNAcentral's name for it is "lncRNA (ENSABRG00000023001.1)". The record is from RNAcentral. Lineage: Eukaryota; Metazoa; Chordata; Aves; Anseriformes; Anatidae.
UGUAUUUAAAAUUUCAAAACUUUUUUUUUUCUUUCUUCCAUUUGCAGUAUUUGCUGUCUCUUUUAGAAGUCCCAGCAGAACACAUAUGUUAACAGAAAAUGGAUGAAUGAGUACCCUCUAGAGGCAGAGUUCAGCUGGGGAAAAUUCCAAGGUAUGGAGAAGAAGUAUCAGAGAACAUAAACAAGGCUUCUGUGAGGAGAAGAGAGUUGGGAUUACUCAAGACUCACAUAAAUACAAACAGGAAAUGCUGCCUCCUUUGACACCUGUUACAGCAAUGAAGCUGUAUGAAUAUCAUCUAUCACUUCUAACGUCUGAGCUUUGUCUAGAAUGAUCCUGGUAAUUGAAGCAGUGCAAAACCAUGGAUUUUCCUUUGCUGCGUGUUUAUAGUAUGAACUUCCAGUCCAUCUGCCCACAUAGCCAUCUGCAAAAUCACCAGGGCAACAGCUGGUAGAAAUGAGGUAGGUGAAAUGGUAUGUGAAGGUACAAAGAGGUUUGUAAAAUAACAUUGUGUUUUUGCAGCACAAGUAGCUUUUUGGAACAUCUCGUGACAUUGCCAAAAAGGGGAAAGCGUGAAUUUAUUUAUUUAUUUCCAUAAGUAUGCUCUUUUCACCAGUUAAG